AGCUGAACCUUGAGUCACAUGUGCCCACAGACUCACUCUGCAGGCUCAUUCUUUCAGCCCCAACCUCAGGGUCCUGGAGUGUCUCCUGACAACCACAUUUCUCUCUUUUGCCACUUCCUUUUUACACAAGUAUCCCAGUCUCCAUAGCAACUCAUCUCACAUUUAGAAACAUGGACAAAAGAUGCAGAAAAAAAGGGAAAAAUAGGCAAGGACAUACACAAAUAAUACAUGUAGACAAUAAUCAAUAGAGUGUGUACACAACUGCACACACAGAGGCAGACGGCUGCAGAGGCAAACGACCGUCUCAAAAAAUAACAAACCUUUUUUUAAAUUUUGGAAAUGUUGAUUUGAGAAGAUGAAUGUUUGACUUAAUAUUAGAAUUUAAAGAGAAUUUUACUCACUUUGAGAAGACAACCUUGGUUACCUGUCGCUUCUGGUUUCCUUUCUGAUAACUGGAGUGUCAUGGUUAUCUUUUUUUUUUCUUGAAUGAAUCUGAGUUUGUUUGUCCCAUUAAUUCAUCAGUACACUUCUCUUGAGUCUUGUAUUGAGAUGAUAAAAAGUUAUCCUUGGUCUGUCACUGUCUGUGAAUAGGAGCCCUGCUGUAAACACGGUUAAAGAGAAUGCAUUCAUCAACCAUUGGUAUGACGUUCGGUGGUAUCUGAGGUGAUGAUGCCUGUGGGAAGAUCGCAUCAUGGUUUUGUUCAAUUACAGCUCUUCCUAGUGAGAAUACAGUUUUGAUGAGAAGAAAUGGAUGUCCAGAAACUAAAACCAUUUGCCAUAAUUUUCAACAGAUACUUUAUUCUAACUGGUCAAUUGGUCUUGAGUUGUGGAAGUGUGGUUUUAACUUCCCACCACUGCUAGUGUGGAAGUGUUUUCUCUGACUCUGAUACCUUCUUGCGUUUGUUAAAGCUGCUGUAAGUAAUGUUGGACUUCUAUUGAUUUUGCCGCCUCCAAUGUGUCGAGAUUAACAUCUUGUCUUGUGUGUACUGCGGUGGUAUUUUCUGAAGACAAAUCUCACACUGCUCUCUUAUCACAGUCAAAGGUGACAGUCAUUGUAAAUAUGUGCUUUUGAGAGUUUAAAGAAAGGCUGUUUCUUCAGCUUGGUGACAGUUACCUGGUUUAAUACCUCACACUACCUCGCAGGAGUUUAAAGUAUGAAAACUUGCAAUGUAAGAGCUGACAAUCUUGAUGAUGUUCUUGUUUGCUGUUUGUUUGUCAUGAGGAGGUGUCAGUAUUCAUUUCAACAUGUUUCACAUUCAGGGUAAAACUCCUCACUGGGGCUACAUUGGAGCAGAGAAAAGGGUGUGAACAUGGUUUGAAAACUCAAGUCUGGAGUCUAGCAGCCGAGUGUCUGUUUGAGCAGAGAAGAGAAAGACUGACAGAUGGACAGAGAGAGUGAGAGAAAGCUCACUUCUCUGUGGAGCAGUGGAUUGACAGAUUUACUGGGUGUGUGUCUUGUGAGGCAGUGGUCAAGGCUGUGUGAAGGGAACACCCUCAAAACCAGCUUGUUUGUUUGGUCAGGAGUGUAGGUGCAGAGGAGAGACUGAACAGAAGCUGUGUUUGAGAUGUCCAUCAUGGCAGCCCACUGUCUGCAUUUGUGUGCAGUGUUUCAGUGUUUGUUUGUGCAGCUUAUACUUUUUUCUAUAGGGUGAAAAAACUUCAUUGAGGUGGACAGUGUGUGAUCGGUGUGUGUGUGUGUGUGUGCGCGUGAGUCAUGCUGUAUAUCAUUCAGAUGUAGCGUCUCUGCAGUGUCUGAGUCACCAUGCAGCAGUGACAGAGAGAGGGCAAGUGAGCACAGAGAGAGAGAGAGAGAGAGAGAGGGAGAAGAGAUCAGAUAACAAAGGAAGCUGAUAGGAUGAAAGAAAGAUCAUGACAUUAUCUUAUGCUUUUCAUCUGACUCUUUUCUGCAGUCUUCACUUCAGUCUGUCAGAUGUGCUAUCUUUUCAUAUGAUUGAUAGCCUGUCAAACUCAAGACCCAAAAGGAAAACUCCUCGGAAAUGUCAAAACAAUACUGUCCGUUGUGCAAUGAUUGAGCGGAGGACGGUUUAACUUUUGGUUAAAUCUGUAAAAGCCAACUUAUUGAAUGAAAAUACAGUUUAAAAAAUAAAAAAAAGCUAACGAGUCUUUGCGUAAUUUGACCAUUUAUGUUCCCAAACCUCUGGGAGUUGUAGGCUCCGCUCUGUGAUGUUCAUGUUAAAUAUCUAGCUGCUCAUUUUUCCAUCAUCCCUCCAAAAGCAAAUGUCAGAGGCAGUGUCUCCUGUGUGCUUUCUCCUAUUUGUUUAUUGUCUGUCCCUUUUUUCUCUCCCACCCACUUGUCCCAAGGUGUCACCUCACGCAGGCUCAGCCCUUAAAGGCGCCGCGCAUCAAUAUUGCAUCACUGCAGUGACACAAAGCAAAAUCCAUUAGCUGAAUGCAAAUCAGGGCCAUUAAGAUCUUGUUAAAAAUUUGCUGCAGGAAGUCAAUAACAGAUAAAGUGAAUCCGGAGUUUGGAUCCAGUUUUUUUUUCCCAGUUGAGGGACUGUGUUUGUGUUCACUUGCUGAUGUAGUUGGGGGGGGAGUAAUUGCCUGCAAUUGUAAAGCAAUUUCUAACCCUAAUGGGUAAAUUGCAGGGUGUAAAGAGUGCUCUGGUGUUGUGCCAUUCUUACCAGCAAUUACAGCAAAUUGUUUAACCUGAGAUGAUAAAAGAGCUAGUUCAGAGAUAAAGAUCGUUUAACACGUGUUUUUGUCAGGGGGUGUGACUAAAACUAAACAAAUAAUGGUUGUAGGAAAUUGAUUCAUCAUGCUUAUCAUGGCAGCGAGGAGUGUCUGAGGAACAAAAAGGCAGACACUGAUAGCGCUCCUCUUGUGUUAUCCCUCUGCCGGGGACCUCUUUAUCAGAUGUGUCACAUCACCAUGUCUAAUGGAUUUAGAUGGACACGUAUGAGUGACAGCAUGAAAUCAAUAAAGCAGCAAAGGAGGAGGUUUUAUCUUUUCUGUGAAAGUGUCGUUUUCCAUCAUAAGUAGAGGAGUUCAUAAGAUAAUAUGUUGUAAGAGCUCAGUUAUCAAAGAUGGAGGUUUCCAAAUGAUUCAGUAAUUCACCAUUUAAACACGACAUACUGCGUCUACCAUGUUGGACUUGCUGUUACAUUUUGCUUAUGGUCCUAUUAGACAUGAACCCCCUCCCCCAUCUUUCACUUUUUAAUGAGAUUUGGAGUGUGCGUAUCACCCCACUGUGAAGCCAUCAGUGACAGGGAAGAGGACAAAAGCAGGCCUGAUGCUUGGGCUUUGGGAAACACCCCCACUAACCACACACACUCACACACACACACAUCUACUACCGGUUCCCAUCUGGUGAUAGGGCAUUAAGAGAGAACCCUGAAUAAGAAACUAGAGGCACACAUGCAUGCACGUUCAUGUAAUCACACACACACACACACACACAUUUUUAUCCAGGUGCCAUGGCUGAAUUAAUUGGGAAAAAUGCCUCCCUCUCUUAACUCCCCAUGCUCCUAAUGUUCUCAUCUUUUAUUUAGCAUCAACUCGCAGUGAAGUGCAAAAGAGCUUUUAUGUUUUUUUUUUUUGUCUUUCUUGAUUCAAAAUUAAAACAACUAAAUCACAACAGUAGGAAUUUUGUAAGGACAGGAAAAAGAAAGCAAGGAGUCAUUUCUUUAUGCAAAAUCAGAGUAAAACAUGCACUGAUUCAAAGGGAGGAGACUUCAUUUGUCCAUGUGUAGCUUAAAUUUGGUCAUAUUUUAAAUGUGUAGUUAACUCUAAGUAACAAUGUUUUUUAAUGGUGGAAUAAUCUGAUUGAUUCAGCAGCAUGACUUAGGUGUUUUAAGUUGUCUGCAUGAGGGAAAAACUUGUUUAUUUCCAUCUGUUUUGCAGGAAUUGCAUCACUUUGAAACUCUUCAAGUGCAAGAGGUGGAAAAAGAAAAAAAAACAGGAAGGAUUAUUUCUGGUGUCUGAUGUGAAUUGUACUCAUGCGUCUCUGCAGAUAACUCAGCUGAUCUUGCAUCACACUGCUGUGUUAAAAGUGUGUGUGUGUGUGUGUGUGUGUGUGUGUGUGUGUGUGUGUGUGUGUGUG
Xyrichtys novacula (pearly razorfish) is the source of this 4063-nucleotide non-coding RNA. Lineage: Eukaryota; Metazoa; Chordata; Actinopteri; Labriformes; Labridae. The record is from the annotation of a GenBank genome assembly.